CCUACGGGUGGCAGCAGUGAGGAAUAUUGGUCAAUGGACGCAAGUCUGAACCAGCCAUGUCGCGUGCAGGAUGACGGCUCUAUGAGUUGUAAACUGCUUUUGUACGAGAGUAAACGCAGAUACGCGUAUCUGUCUGAAAGUAUCGUAAGAAUAAGGAUCGGCUAACUCCGUGCCAGCAGCCGCGGUAAUAAGGAGGAUUCCAGCGUUAUCCGGAUUUAUUGGGUUUAAAGGGUUCGUAGGCGGUCGGAUAAGUUAGGGGUGAAAUCCCGAGGCUCAACGUCCGAACUGCCGUUGAUACUGACCGGCUAGAGAGGAGGUGAGGUAGGCGGAAUGUAUGGUGUAGCGGUGAAAUGCUUAGAGAUCACACAGAACACCGAUUGCGAAGGCAGCAUACCAGGCUACAACUGACGUUGAGGCACGAAAGCGUGGGGAGCAAACAGGAUUAGAUACCCUGGUAGUC
This 460-nucleotide ribosomal RNA is filed under the name uncultured bacterium. Its description in RNAcentral is "partial 16S ribosomal RNA". It matches the Rfam family "Bacterial small subunit ribosomal RNA", at positions 338 to 795 of the family's 1533-position model. The record is from RNAcentral.